UUUCGUCUCAUAUCCCACCACCAUAUCUCCUCACAUUGAUUUUUUUACCCUCACAAUAAAAACUUUCCUAACUUUUCCAAAGUUUCCUAACUAGACACGUUAUAAACGGGCAUGUACCGAUAGCACGUUAUCAAUUAAUAAAAUUUUGUUUUAUGACAAUCAAUUCCAAAUCCUAAUUUUCCUAAUGCAUCGAUCUUUGCCUUUUUUAAGUAGUUAUUUUGAUAGGGAGGGUUUAGCCACGAAAAUCAUCCCUCCAUCGUCGGCUGCAUCCCUCACCCACGUCGCUGUUGCAGGAUCUUCAUCCGUCAUCCUGAGCAAUUGGGGCGGCGAUGCGGGCGAGCUUCACGAUAGUGGGGAGGACCAGGCCGCGGUGAAGGCAGGUCAUGCGCUCCUCACGCUCCACGAACGGAACCUGCGCACGGAGGCGGUAGCGCGGGGUGGCAGCCGGCAAUGAGGCGGCCGCGCUACGUGACGAGCUAUGGGUCCCCCUUUGUGAUGUUUUGGCAUCGCUCCUUCAUCGCACAUCCUCAGGUACGUCAAUUCACUUCCUUCCCUUCCCUUCGUCCCUCGGUCCCACGCUCGUGGCGCUGAAGUGGUGGCAACAGGCGAUGGCGGUGGUGUCGCUGAUGGCGGCGAGGACAGCAUGUGGCAGCUCCCGAAGCAUGAACACGACCGCACCUCGGGCCUGCCGUCUGCCAAGAUAUGGGACGAUGCAGCUCUGGCCGAUUGACAAUGGAGGUUUGGGAUCCUUCCUCUCAGCACCCGCUCCUGGAAGAAUCAGCGGUGCGCCACGCCGAUUGAACCCCAUCG
This is a long non-coding RNA of Triticum dicoccoides, 810 nucleotides long. RefSeq lists it as uncharacterized. The record is from RefSeq and is a predicted model, not a curated record. The transcript is spliced from 3 exons. Lineage: Eukaryota; Viridiplantae; Streptophyta; Magnoliopsida; Poales; Poaceae.